CUUCCUCUCAUUUCUGUCUUUAGGUUGUGCUGCUCUACGCCUCUACCUACGUCCUGGUGUCCCUCAGCAUAGACAGAUACCAUGCCAUCCAGGGUCCUCAUUGUGAUCGCCUGGAGCCUGUCUUUUCUGUUCUCCAUUCCCACCCUGAUCAUAUUUGGGAAGAGGACACUGUCCAACGGUGAAGUGCAGUGCUGGGCCCUGUGGCCUGACGACUCCUACUGGACCCCAUACAUGACCAUCGUGGCCUUCCUGGUGUACUUCAUCCCUUCAUCUGCUGUUGGAGUCCAUACUUCCUGUUUGACAUUUUGGACAAUUUCAACCUCCUUCCAGACACCCAGGAGCGUUUCUAUGCCUCUGUGAUCAUUCAGAACCUGCCAGCAUUG
RNAcentral lists this long non-coding RNA (383 nucleotides) under Homo sapiens (human). RNAcentral's name for it is "long non-coding RNA NONHSAT120057.2". The record is from RNAcentral. Lineage: Eukaryota; Metazoa; Chordata; Mammalia; Primates; Hominidae.